CUUGGGAGCCCUGCCAGCCCACAGGCCCAUCUGCGGCAGGCACGUGGUGCCGCGAGAACUUGGCUCAGGGACGGUUUUUCCGCCAUGCGCAGAUUCUCGCCUCUCGCGGGGGCGCCAGGGGGCAGCUGGUUGAGGUGCGCAUGCGCACUGGCACCUAACGGCUCUUCUUCGAGUCUUCUCAGAGGUUGGAGAUUCCCUGUCUUCUCCAACCUCUGCCAAGUCUUCAGAGAGGUUGGAGUGCGCCUGUCGGAGGUACUAGACCCCAGAUGAGGAUCUCAGGAAGAUCCACAAAGCUGCGUCCAGGGGAACGAACGUGUGGAAGCUGCAGCGGAGCCUCCUGCUCAAGAGUAAAGGACCGGUCUGAAACCUACAAGAACAGAAGAGCCAUGUGACGGGAUCCGUGGUUUGGCAGAGGAGACAUGCGAGAAGACGGAACGUUUUGUCCGAAUAGACAUCUGGCAGGGUGGAACGGAGAGAACAGGUAUGGUGGAGAGAACGUCUGAGAAGGUCGCAGGAUUCGCAGGAGCAUCGGGAAAAGAUUGCCUGCUUGCCCGAAGGAAUGGCAAGUUCCAAAGCUGUGCUGUGGGCAGUGUUUAGUUCAUGUCUGCUUUGCUGGCGGGCCGAGUAGCAACAGCUGCAGUUGGUGUGUUCUCUGAAGGCAGUAUCCGAAGGCUGGAGGGGUUGCUUUUCUUCCCAGGUGUCUUUUGAAGAGGCAGUCAAGUCAGCAGCUCGCGGUGAACUUCUGGUAACAUCGUAUGGGCUGGGUUACAGCACAUGCCGACUGCUAAGCCGGUCACUGGGGAAAACCAUGUGAUUGCUGUGAUGAGCUUAGAAUGAUCAUUCCUCCUUCGGGAGCUGGGGUGGGUUGAGGGAGUGAUAAAGAUCACGAUAACCUUGCAUUUCUCCAGCGAGAAAGAAGAAAGAAAUUCCGUGGAUAGGGAGCCAGCCAGGUUUCCUGCAGAAAAUCAUGGGAAGCUUUUGAGCAGGGGAGUCAGAAGAUGAGCGGUGAGUAUUAGGGCUUUCCGGUCACGGUGUGACACAGGGAUUGGCCAGCUCUUCCUGUAAAGGGCCAGGUGGGAAGCACUCGUAGGCCCCGUGGUCUCUGUCGUGUCUGCUGAAGCCUGCCGUAGUAGCGUGGAAGCAGUCAGAGAUGACGUGUAAGCAAAUGGUCCCGACUGACCUCCGGUAAAGCAUUGAUUCCGGAAGCAUUUAACAGACCUAACAACCUUUCAAACCGCAUGGCGUUUCUUUCCCGGAUCCCGUUUCAGGAACGUUUCUGUUGGCUACAAGGACCGUCUCCAACAUGCUUAGGCUCUGUGAACUUUCCCAGGAUCCUGAGUAGGGUUCUCACAGUAGACGAGGAGCCUGUUUUUCAGCUAGCUGCCACAAGGGGGCUGGAAAUUUCUCCCUUCAGAGUGGACCUGGAAGGCUUGGAAGCAUCUGGAGAAGGGCAUGGCCACGAGUAGAGAAAUCCAGGCUACAGGCAGAAGUGGGAGGAAGCGAGAGAGGAAGACUCAUGGAAAGCCUUGCUGCACUCGCCAAAAGAGCUGCCCUCGGACUCAAGAGGGCCACGUUCAAUGUCAACCUGACAUAAGAAGAGCCAUGUGACGGGAUCCGUGGUUUGGCAGAGGAGACAUGCGAGAAGACGGAACGUUUUGUCCGAAUAGACAUCUGGCAGGGUGGAACGGAGAGAACAGGUGUCUUUUGAAGAGGCAGUCAAGUCAGCAGCUCGCGGUGACCUUCUGGUAACAUCGUAUGGGCUGGGUUACAGCACAUGCCGACUGCUAAGCCGGUCACUGGGGAAAACCAUG
Molecule: long non-coding RNA, 1811 nt
Filed under: Homo sapiens (human)
Lineage: Eukaryota; Metazoa; Chordata; Mammalia; Primates; Hominidae
Description: HSALNT0346945
Source: RNAcentral